CCAAAGUUGAUCCUCUCUUCGAGUCUACAUUGGGAGAUGAACCGAGUGAUUCCUUUGCCUGGUGGAUUUGAAUAUUGAACUCUGUCAUGCUUGAAACAAUUCUAGAUGCUGAUGAAAUAUUCUCAGUACUCCUCCUCGAUCCGUAAGUUCUUUUAAUUGUAUUUUAUUUACUUCAAUUCCAUAAUAACUUGCAAGCCUUUGUCAUAUUGUAUUUUUUUUUUGUUAUUUUAGACUCCUAGUAGAACAUGCCUUUUGAGUGGUGAAUAGAUAUUGGAACAGUUACCAAACCUCAGCUUUAGUACCGCCUAAUUGCUUGCCAGGUAAUGAUUGAUGCCAAGCUCCCAAUAAUUUUUUGCUACUAACGAAGUUGCUGUUAGUCAUUGUAAAAAGUCUGGCUUGUAAUAUUUUUUUUUUUAACAUUAUACAUUAAAGCUUCACUCCCAAAUCAUUUAAUGGAGAAGACGAAACCCAAAUUUUCAGAUUUUCUGUUCUUUUUCUUCCUGCAUUUUGUGAUUGUUUCAUUUAUUCUUUUUUAGGUGAUUCUAGUUUUUUUUCGGGGCCAUCUCACUUUGAUAAAGAUUUAGGCUCUUUCUUCGGAUAUUCUCCAAGAUGGACUAUAACUUUUCGCAGUGAAGAAACAUUCAUUUCGAGCAAUUAAUUUGUCGAGCGAGUAAUCAUUAAAAGUAAUCAUUAAACGUACAAGGGGAGGACCUCCUAGGUGGCCGAACCCUAUAGGGGGUGAAACCUAAGGGUCUUGGCCUCAUCCUUUAUAUUUUUUAGUCCUUCCUUUACUCUUCCACUCGAACGACAUCCUUUGUUUAUGUGUUUUUACUUGUUUCAUCUUUUAGGCAACUCUAAUAUUUCUUUUGUCUUCCGAACCCUAUUAUCUUGAUCAUAUCUUGGUUUUUUCCCUCAGAUCAUAAAGAAAAAUUGACGUUUUUUUGACAAAACACGAAGGAAAAAAUGUUUCUUCUUUCCUUUAUUUUCUGAACCUCAUUACCUUAAUCAUAUCUUGAUUUUUUUCCUCGAAUCAUAAAGAAAGAUUAACGUUUUUUGACAAAACACGAAGGAGAAAAUGCUCCUCAGCGGGACCACCCUAGAUGGCCGAACCCUAGGGAAAAAAAUCAGCAAAUGAAGGCAAAAAAUUGAGUCCAAAAAGGGUGCAUGGUCGUUAUUUUGACCAUAACUUUUGAUUCGCUUAGAAUUACAAGACCCAUAAUAUAUCAAAUCGAAGCUAGAGAUGAGCCUUACAAAAAUUAUUGCCUUUGGCUAUGAUAGAUACCGUUAUAUGUCCAAAAAAGGCUUUGAAAGUUUUUCAAAAAAGUUCAAAAAAAAAUUCUUGCGUACUUCUGAUUUCUAACUUUCCCUGACUUUAUUUCUUUUUCUUUUUAGGUGUUCUUAAGUUUAAAUCUCAGAAUUGCUUCUUUAUUAUGGUAAGCACUUAAGUUUAAAUCCUUUCCUUUACAUCAUUUCCUUGCUCUUUAGAGUCCUUAUACUGAAUUUUCCUUGAUUACAGGCCCUUUCCACUGGACGUUCUGCCAUCCCAAAAACCACCACAAAGACCCAUUCAUCAAUGAGUGGGAAGGGUUGUGACACCCCCAAAAUAGGUCCAAUCCAUCCAACCUAUUCUGAGUCGCCAAAUAAAUGGUACAGAAAAUAACUACAAUUUUAUUACUGCAAUUGUCAUGCAAAAUAUAACAACACAUAUGUUGUGAGUUUUGAUACAAAUAUAUAUACCAACUGUGACUCUUGACACCAACUUGGAUAGCACGUUACAAUGGCACCUUACAUAAAGGUACAGUCAAAAACUGUUUUAAAAAUUAAAUUUUUUGGGAAGUGCUCAAGGAAACCUUUGUACAUGGGAGGCCAUGCGUCUAGGUUAUGAUAGAUAUCAUAUGUCCACAGAAUUAUCCUUGGUUGACCCAAUAGACCCCAAAGAAAAACGAGAAGAUUACUAUCAUGCUCUUUCUAAUGGUGAGUCUUCUCUUGACAUAUAACUAUCUCCACUGUCUGCAAUUGAAAAUUAUAUUUCAACCACACUCUAAGAUCAUAUAGGUAGUGCUCGUAGAUAUACUUAGCAAGUGAAUGUGCACAACCCUGUCUUAUGAUAACACGAGAUUGUAUGUCAUUAGACAUCUUGUAUGAUAGUGGUAAAACACUCUUCCAACGUUGGGUUCGCCUCACCCUAUUGUUGUUCACCAAAAUUAAUUAUUAAGUGACGUAUAAUAUACGGCACACACAUCUUAGGUCCUCAAUACAAUUAUAUAUUGUAUGUCAUGCCGUUUUAUAAUGUGUUGAGAAACUUUGACAGUCUCGGACCAUCACACUAUUCCCCUGAUAUCCCCGCUCGACCCAACUACACUCUUAUUACCUGAAAAGGAAUUGUGAAGCAAAAGGGUAAGCACAACUAGCUCAGUAAGAAUAUCAUGACUAAAGAUAAUUAAAUUAUCAAUAGCCUUCAUCAGAAAUAAAUCAGAGAUUUAGAACAUAUGGUAGAUGAUAAAACUUUUCAACCAUAGUUGCAGCGGAAUGAGCAAUCCAUUAGAAGAGUCAAAUAGACCAUAAAGUCUAUUAUCUUCUCCAUGUUAAAAGUCCACCAACAAUGUUUUAUCCCUGUAACAUCAAUCAACAGUUCCUGUCCACAUUCAUGUGAAUAACUCAUAAUCAUAAUUGUGGUUCUAAAUUCCUCUUCUCAUCCAGGACAAAGAUAAUUUUCAUCAUUUGUCUUAACCUGAAACAUCAAAGAUCAUAGUUAUACCAAAUAAUAAUUCUUGUUCAUAAUCAUACUAAUAAAUUCAUCUUUGCACUACGGGCCAAAGAUAUUCAUCAACAAGUCAUCUUUGCACUACGGGCCAAAGAUAUUCAUCAACAAGUCAUCUUUGCACUACGGGCCAAAGAUAUUCAAAAAUAGGUCAUCUUUGCACUACGGGUCAAAUAUAUUCAUCAAUAAUUCAUCUUUGCAUUACAUGCCAAAUAUAUUAAUAUCUCAAAGAAAUACAUAAUCAUUUCAGAAUUUAUAUAAACUAUAAUUAUAACCAUGUUGAUCAAUUCACCUUUGCACUUAAGCUAAAAAUAUUCAAUUUUAAAUUCAAUGGUCAUGAUCAUACCAGUCAACGAUUCAACUUUGCACUACAGGCCAAAGAGAACCCAUAGUCACGAUCAUACCAAUAAUCUACCCAUCUUUACACUCAAGUCAAAGAGAAUUUUUUCCACAAGGAUUAUAAAAAUGUUAUAUAUGAUAAUAAAAAUAAUAUUAUCAAAACAUGGAUUUAAUUUCAAGAGUAAGAUUCAUAAAUCAACGAUAAUUUGGUCAGAAAAAGAAACCAAUUUUGUCAUAAAUAGUAACUCGUGAAUAGUAACUCGUGAAUAGUAACCCCGACAUGAAAAAGGUAGAAAUUCCACAAUAAAAUCUAUACCAAUAUUUCGGUAUAAUGAUAUUAAAAGAAUAACAUUUCUUAAACUUCUAAACAAUUUAUUUUAAUUGAUUACACUUUACUAAUUAAUGCAUUUAAUCAUCCUAAAAUGCCAAACUCAUAAGAUUUCAUCAUCAAUAACCAAAAUCCUCAUCAAAAAUCUGUAUAUACCUUACAUAGGAUUCUCAAACCAUAAAAUCUUAUUUUCUAAUUUUCUUACUUCACAUAACAUAUUUAAUUCAUUUACUCAUAACUAGACCAUUUUCAUGAAAAAUACCAAAUCAGUUUCAAAAAUAUUUCUUUUCUGGAAUUUAGCAUAAUAUAGUCCCAUAUUGAACAUAUAUUUUUCUCAGAAUUUUUAAAAUUCAUUUACUAUUUUUCACAUGGCCAAAACUGCCAAAUAUUUAGACAUUUAUCAUAAAUUGUACGUUUGUCCAAAAAUUCCAAAAUUUACAGAGUAUACUUAUGUUAUAUAUAUGUACUCCCAAUAAAAAUUUCACUAAUUUUGGAGUUAACCACAAGGAGUUAUAAGAGUUUACUUUUAAAAUAGUCUCUUCCCAUAAAAUUCAUAACUCUUAAUCUAUACAUCCAAAAAUCACCAUUUUUGGACACAAUCAAUAAAACUCAUUAAAUUAUCAUUUCAAAUUUUUCCAGAAUUUUUGAAGGUAUGAAAAGUUACGAAACAUGAAAAAAAUAACAACCCUUAAAAAUCCCUUACCUCACAAGAGCAGUACUUCUAACCGGAAUAUCGGAUGUAAAGCCGAAAGAACCUUGCACUGAAUAGCAACUCUCAAAGUAUCUAAAUACUCACAAAAAUAUGCUUGAUAAUAUAAAGAGAGAAAACUUAUUUCUGGUGUGAUUUUUAAUUCUAACAUAAGCACCUAUUUAUAGGAAAAUGCUAGAACACCAAAGGACACUAAAUUAAUAAAAUAAUAUAUUUAUUUUAUUCCUACGCAGGCAAGUUGAAAAUUCCAGCCCACCAUACUUGAAGCUUUAAUUCAGCACAUGCUUUCAAUUAAAAACAAAAGUGGGGCCCACCUUCUAGAAUAUUUCCACCAAAAUCAUUUACAAAAAUAAUUUUCGAAUCAGUCACCUCUUAAAAUUCAUAACAAAUCAUACGUUAAUUUUUAACGGUUCAAAAUUUGUGGAUAUGUACUCAACUUAUAUAUGUAUAACAUAUCCAAAAAUCACAACGAUNNNNNNNNNNNNNNNNNNNNNNNNNNNNNNNNNNNNNNNNNNNNNNNNNNNNNNNNNNNNNNNNNNNNNNNNNNNNNNNNNNNNNNNNNNNNNNNNNNNNCUGUCACCACGAAAAAUUCACAAAGAAUUUUUGGGUGAUUCCAAUUUUUACGGUUAGCUUACUUCCAGGGCUUUCUUUUGAUAUAUGGCUCAUCUCCUAACUCAUUAUACACCAAGAGUUAUGGAUUAUACAAAAUCAAGUAAUAAACUAAUUUUUCUGAAAAUCCCAUAUUUUGUUCUUCAUUUCGACAAAACACCUCAACAUUAAAUCCUUUAUUUAUAACCGUAUAAAUAAAUCCAUCAUUUAUAUCCACAUUAAAUAAAUAUUUUCUUAUCAUAUAAAUCAAUAAUUAUUCAUAAAUAUUACAGAAUCACAAUAAUGACAACUAGACAGUUUCCAGGAAAGAGAGGGCUUUCCAAUAAAGAUUUCUCCUUACUGGCGCGCAAUUAGGUGACCAAACCUCUCCUUGACAGAACUUUCUAGACAUUGCCAAUAAUGCUAUCUAAUAAUAUUAUUCAAAUAAUAUGAAUUAUUGAUCUGAUAAUGGGAAAUACUGUGCAGUGACAAUUAUUGAAACAACAAUAAUAUAAAAUAUCAACGCAGCAAUUAUUGAAUCAAUAAAAUAAAAUAUUGAACAGUAAUUACUGUAACAAUUAUUGAGUAGUGCCUUCUUACGUAAGAAUCAAUAAUUCAAGAAUAUUAUGCAAUACCGUGUGCUACUGUGCAACCACGCGUAUUACUGUAUUUUAACCACCAGGUAUUCCAACAAUGUUAACGGUAAAAAUUACGUCGUUAUUUAUAAACAUUCAAACUUGUCAUUUUCUUUAUUCGACAGUUAUUCUGUUAUGGGGCCCACAAAUGGUUGCGCCGUCGUACGAAUAUUCUCCGACAACAAGAAUAUUCCACGACCAAAUGAAUAUUCCCCGACAACCAAGACUAUUUUAUAACCACUUGCGUAUUUUGUAAACUUUGCACAUAUCACCCUUAACUUUAAACUUUUAUCAAUUUGACCAUUUACUGAAUAAUAAUUAUAAGAAAAAUUGAAUACUUUUAUUUCAUAAAAUUCGGGGUCUUACAAGGGCUCCCUUCUUUCGGUCUUUUAACGUUUUCUCAAGACUUAUGACCGUACAAAUUUUCCCCCGCCAGAGAAAAAAAGAAUUGUUUCUAUAUGUUGCGGCUUGCAAAGGUUGGGAUGACUUUUCUCAUUUCGAUCGCAUUCCCCGCAUAUGCAUUGAGAAACAAGAGUACCCUUUUAGUUUUAUUCGCUUCUUUCAGCAAAUCAUCUCCUUCGGAACGUACUUUAUGCUUCACUAGCAUAUGUUUCUGCCACUUCUAGGCUUCCUUGUGACGCCCCCAAAAUAAAUAUACAUCACCCAUUCUGAGUCACCAAAAACAUGGUACAAAAUUUAAAUACAACUUAAUUAUACAACUGUCGUGUAAAGUACGACAAAACAUAAGCUGAGAGUUUCAACAUGAAUAUUGUCUUCUAGACAAUAUCCAAACUCAAAUUUAAUAUUAUUACAUUUAUUUUCACACUAUUUCACAAAAUAGUGAUGACUAUUUAUACAAAUAUCUGGACUGUCACUCCGUUCUCGGACUAGUCCCAACUAUAUUCUCAUUUCCUGAAGAGAACAAUGAAAGCAAAGGGUGAGCUCAACUAGCCCAGUAAGAAAUAUUAAGACUAAGAUAAUGCAGAAUAAAUUAGCAUUAGCCUUCAACAGUGUUAAACUGAUAAAAUACAAUAGACAUCAAAUUUAACUGCAGCGAAACAAGCAAUCCAGUAGAAGAGUCAAGUAGAGCAUGAUAUCUACUAUCUUCUAUGAUUUAAAAAGUUUAUCAUCAAUUUUAUCACUGAGACUCAUCUUAAUAAAUAAUCCACAUCAUCCCUGCACUACGGGCCAAGGAUAUUCAUUAGUAUCACGACCACGAAUUAUCCAUGCACUACGGGCCAAGGAUAUUCGUAUUUUCAUCAACGGUCAUGAUCACACCAUAAAAUAAUUCAUCUUUGCACCCUUGGCCGAAGAAAACCCAUGGUCAUGAUCAUACCAAAAACUGUUCAUCAAUGCACUACGGGCCAAUGAAGACUUUUACCAUAUCAUUUGUAACAUUACGGUCAUGAUUAUACCGAAUAAUCACUGGUCAUAAUCAUACCAAUUCCAUCCAUGCACUAUGGCUAUAGAUGACUUUCAUCAUAAUAUAAGCACGAGGAUGAUGAAAAUGAUAUAAAAAUUCAAUCAAACGAGAUCAAGGAUAAAUAUUAAAGACUUUAAAUUUAUCCAAAGUUUAAAAACGUUCAAAUGGUCAACAUGAUACUACUUUGUAGAGUAAAAUUCAAGAAUAAUAAUGUAUCAAAAUUGAUUUGGAUCGAAAAGAAAUCAAUUUUUGUCAUAAAUAGUACCCCGAAUGAAUAGUACCCAAGUGAAUAGUACCACAUGAAUAGUAACCCCGUGAAUAGUACUCCGGUAUAAAAAAGUUAAAACUUAUCAAGAAUGCUCAGAAUAAUAUUUUCAUAAAAAGAUACUGGAUGAAGCGCAAAUAUCAAUGAUAUUCUACUAAUUUCAUGGAGUAUAGAAGCCAAAACUUUAACAAAAUGAGUGUAUAAUUCAAAAUCUGAAACGAAAUAAUAUUACUUACAUACUACAGAGUAUGGAAGAAAAUAUUAUUUCUUACGAAUAUUGAACAAAAAUAGUAUCAUUUACAACUGUUGAACGAAAAUAAUAUUCCUUACGAAUAUUAAACGAAUAUAAUAUUCCUUACGAAUACGAAAUAUUGAACGAAGAUAAUAUUUCUUGCGAAUAUUGAACGAAAUAAAAUUUCUUACGAAUACGAAAAAUAAUAUCGUAAGCGAAUAUGAAAUAAAUAAUACCCCUUAUCUUAAAAAGAAGAGUAUUUCGACUGGUAUAGCGGGGAUAUUCUUGAAGAAAACUUUUACUAUUUUCUACACUCAAAGCUUCCUUAAACUCUAAAGAAAUACGCUCAAUAUUAUAGAAGAAGAAUUCUCUAAUUCUGGUGUGAUUUUCAAUUCUAACUAAGCAUCCUAGUUAUAGGAGAAUGAAAAUGAUACUAUUUGAGCGAACAGUGGGGGAAGAAUCGCGGGCGCAAAUUUGAAUUCGUCUGAUAAUUUCAUUCUUUACUAUGCAAAUACUAUGUAGGCACUAUGCAAAUACUAUGCAUAAUAAAAUAUAAUAUAUUCUAUUUUUCAUAAAAAAAACAAAAUUUAUUAUAAUAUAUAUAUAAAAUAAGCAUAGUACUCCCACCCGUGAAUCCAAUACUCCAUCCCCUGACAAUUCAUUUUUCUACAUGUGGGCCCCACAUGUGGCCCCAACUUUAUUAUAUUGAAUAACUUUAUACCGAUUAUUUUGAAAAUUGGGUAAAUGGAGAUCCAAAUAAUAAGCAAAAUUUACCACAAAUACAUCAUAAAAAUCUCCUUAAUAUUUUUAACAAUAUUUAUUCAUUAUUAUUAUAACUCGCAAUAUUAACAACAAGAUUGUUCCCAGGAAAGAGGGGGCUUUCUGAUAUAAGGAUUUCUCCCUAUUGGCGCGCAAUUAGAUGACCAAACCCUUUCCUCGAUAGAACUUUCUAGACAUUGUUAAUUAUGCAGAUAAUAAUAUGAAUAACUUUUCAUCUCAAUUAUUGAUUUAAUAAUAUAUAAAAUAUCAAAAAUAAUUGAAUCAAAUAACGUGAGAUACUAUGCAGCAAUUACUGUAGCAAUAAUUGAACAAAACUGAGUGACUUCUCACGUAAGCAUUAAUAAUCAAUACCGUGUGCUACUAUGCAACCACGCGUAUUACUGUACUUUUAACACCGGAUAUUUCAACAGUUAACGAUAAAACUUUCGCCGUUAUUUUUAUAAAAAGAUAUUUAUGUCAUUUUCUCAUUCCGACGAUAAUUCCAUUGUGGGGUCCACCAAUAAUUGUGCCGUCAUACUAAUAUUCCCUGUUAAAACGAAUAUUCUCCGACCAAUCGAAUAUUAUAUAACAACUUGCUUACUUUAUAAAAUUUAUAAAUACUACCCAACUAUAACAUUAUAUUAAAUCCACACCUUAAUAUUCAAAAAAAUAUUUCGAGAAAAUUAAUCUUUAUUCAUAAAAUUUGGGGUCUUACAACCUCCCCUUCUUAUGAAAUUUCAUCCUUGAAAUUUGCGUACGUACCUGGUAUGUCGAAGAGGUGAGGACACCUCAUCCACAUAUUUACGUAACAUUAAUACGUGAAAAACGUUAUGAACACGCGACAUACUUGGCGGUAAAGCGAGUCUAUAGGCCACAGUUCCUACUCGAUCGAGGAUUUUAAAUGGACCAAUAAAAUCGAGGUUUGAGAUUUUCUCUCUUCGUCGAUUCUUGCUUUUAGAAUAACGCCUUCUUGCACCUUAUUCUUCAUAUUCAUCGGCUCUAAUUCUGUAGCUUAAGAUUUCUUCCCUCAUAUAUGUCUAUUUCACCCAAAUCUAUUCCCUUUUCCAUUUGUUUCCAAAACUCCAACAAGAGGGAUACACUACAUGUUUAAAUAAAUGGAAAAAGUAAAUGGCAUUGAUCAAACAGGCUAGAGAGUAAUCCCGUGUUUCUACACAGGUCAAAAGAUGCCCAUAUUUGAUAGACCACAACAAUAAAAAUAUAAACCAUCUGCUCAAUAGAGGAAGGGUUGCAAUUAGGUUUCCAUUCUGCUCUACCAAAAUCUCAACAGAAAUAAAAACUGGCAGUUUAAAUUAGGGGAAAACAUUUACAUGCAUCAGACACACUAAAGAUGAAGGCAACUAUAAUACAUGGCACACUAAUUAAAAAAGAUUAGAUUAGACAUAAGCAUCACCCUGUUACUAAAUUAUAACUUAAAAGUCUUAGAAUAUCAUUUCACCUUGAGGAUCAAACUGGUUAUCUGAUGGAGGGCAUUCUCUGCAUCAGUAAACAUGUCCUCACUGUCUUUGGAGCUUAUGAUGAUUACACGUUCUUCAUGUCGCUGAAAAUUACACGAAAGAAUAUGAAUAUCCACCUUUUCAGUCUACAGAUAAUCAAGGAUACUGCAGAGAAAUUUACCCAUCACAAAAGAGAGCGGAGUGAUUGAACAAGUAGAAAGGAUUUAAGAUCCAUCAAAUUAAAAUAUUUAAGUACAAUACCACUUCAAUUAAUUAGUCAUCUCAAAAGAAACAGCUCGCAUGCAUGCUUUUCUCAUUUUAUACUUCUGAAGCAUCAUGUUUGGGAAAAAAACAUAAAGAUACCUCUUAUAGUAAAAUUGGCCCAAAAAAAAUUGAAAGCAAAGAUAAAUAAACUAAACAAAGCUAGGGACUUUUUCCUCUAAUAGGCCCAAAUGAUCAUAGAACAACGAACUACAUCACAAACUAUUUCAAAUAGAAUCAUACAAAUGUGGCACUAACAUAACAGGAAAACUGUACUUGAUGCACAAGAAUAAAUAAAAAAUAUUACCUCCCAGACAUAGUUGUCGAUUUAGUCGUUUUAGAGCCACUCAAUUUGCUCAAAAUUUCUUUAUCAACAACACUUACAAGCUUCCCCAAAUUCUUGUAUUGCGAACUAUAGUUAGAGCCCCCAUUAUUAGCAAUAUAUUCCCCAACACUGCAGAUAAGCCCCAACCCCAACAACCACAAUUAAUUCCAGGAUAAUUCAGCAACACUAAGACAUAAACCUGUAACAAGAAAACCUAAAAAAAACAGAAUCACUAUCUAAUCAAAUUUCAAAGAAGAAUAUCAAAUCACUAUCAAGACAAACAGAAUCACUAUCUAAUCAAAACAGUUUCACCUCAGCAGAACAAAUCUCCCAGACAAAGCGCUAAAUCUUUAGGAUAUGAAACAAUUAUGACAAAACUACAAGCUCCAUAAAUUAAUCACUAACCUUCCUUAAUCUUUUCAGGAUCAUAACCACUGAAACAACAACCAAUAAAAACAAGACAACCCAAAUAAUCAAAAAUAAAGUUAAACAAAACAAACACCCAAUUGAUGAGAAUCAUAACUCAAAAAGAUUAAACAAAUUAAACACCCAAUUCAUAAUUCACAAACCCAGAAAAAUGAGACAAAUCCGGUACUGUUGACCAUCUCUUGAUAGUCCAAAAAUAGAUCCUUCGGAACCCUAAAUGCGUCGUGUGCACACAUGAUGGCCAAUCUGACGAGUGAACUAUCAAAGGGUAGAGACGAGAAGCGAUUGAGUGAGAAGGCAACGAGGACCAAGAGAGAGAGGGCAACGAGGACCAUGGGAGAGAGGGCAACGAGCGGCUAGGAGGGCAACGAGGACCAGGAGAGAAAGGGAAGAUCGAGUGAGUGAGAAGAGAGUUGAUUUGAUUUGGGGGAAACAUUACAUAUUAAUUUGGGGAAAAAAGGAGGAAUUUAUGGAAAAAGAGCUCUAUCCCGAUGGUCAGCCGUCGCUAUUGAUAUCCUAUUGUGACGGCUCCGUUCCAACCGUCGCUAUAGCUCGUCGCUAUAGGUUAAAUUUUUAGUAGUGUCUCUUUCACAAUUGAAAUACGCUUUGAGUUGCUGCGUACAGUUUGGACAGAUGUGUCCCUCCUGUCCGCAUUUGAAACAUAUGACCAGUGGUCGUUCUUCUUCCUUAACAACGUGUGUUGGUGUUGACGUCUUUCCAUCAUUAUUGAAUCUCCUUUUCUUGAAAUGUCCACUUUUAUUAUCUUGUCCAUGAUUACCACCGAAGUAGUUACCAUUUCUGGCCUAUUGAUUCCCUCCACGUUUGUUGUCACCGCUUCGAUGACUGCUACCACUGGUAUUAUCAUUUUGCUGGUUGCUCUUUCUUGGUUGGGUUGACUUAUUAUCGUGCUCUAAUAACUGAGCCCUAUUUACAACAUCUGAAUACAAGCAAAGUUUGUGAGAAAUGAGGUAUUGACGUAUUUCGGGUUUCAAACCUUGCAAAAACAUUCGCGUCAUUCUCUCCUCAUUAUCUACCAAAUGAGAUGCAAACCGGGAUAACUCGGUAAACUUAGCCUCGUAUUGCGACACGGUCAUAUUGUUUUGCUCCAGCUUGAUGAACUCUACCUCCUUCAUGUGACGAAUAUUUUCGAGAAGGUACUUGUCGUUGAACAAUUCUUGAAAAUUCUCCCAAGACAUCUUCAGUGCAGCAGGCUGGGUACGUUUUAUAGAUUCCCACCAAUAAUCUGUCUCUCCUCGCAACAUGAAGGUGGCAAAGGGAACCUUUUGUUCCUCAAAGCAUCCCAAGACAUCAAAUAUCUUGGUGAUCUGCUUUAUUCACGUCUCCGCCUUAAGUGGUUUUGGCUCUCCCAAAAACUCCGGUGGUCCCAGCUCUUUGAACUGCUUACCGGUGACCGUCCGAGAGUUGGCAGUGUUUCCACCUGUAUUUUGGACAGGGGUCUCUCUCGCCUGAUGUUGCAUGAAUUGUUGAAAGCCCCUAAACAUUUCGUCGUUCAUUAUUUGGUCAGUGUUAUUAUUUGCAUGAGGAUUGUUGCCUUCCUGAUGCACAAUUUCCUGAUCGUUGGUGAUUCAACAGUCUCAUGUGCUCCAUUGUUAUUCUCAACAUUCUCGGAUGUCAUUUUCAAAUACUGCCACAAAACAAGGGUUAAUUGACAUGCAACAUAUUAUCCCUAUAUUUUGACCUACCAAUUAAAUAACAAAUAAACUUAGGUAGGUCAAACUAGCGAAGAAAUUACUUUUCCCUCCCCUCCUAGUUUUAGUCUCACAUCUCAGCCAGGGAUCAUAUCCCUAAGCUUUGAUAGCAACUGUGAUGCCCCCAGAAUAGGUAUACAUCACCCAUUCUCAGUCUCCAAAAACAUGGUACAAAAUUCAAAUACAACUUAAUUAUACAACUGUUGUGUAAAGUACGACAAAACAUAAGCUGUGAGUUUCAACAUGAAUAUUGUCUUCUAGACAAUAUCCAAACUCAAAUUCAAUAUUAUUACAUUUAUUUUCACACUAUUUCACAAAAUAGUGAGGACUACUAAUGCAAACAUCUGGACCGUCACUCCGUUCUCCGGCUAGUCUCAGCUAUAUUCUCAUUUCUUGAAGAGAACAAUGAAAUCAAAGGGUGAGCUCAACUAGCCCAAUAAGAAAUAUUAUGACUAAGAUAAUGCAGAAUAAAUUAUCGUUAGCCUUCAAUAGUGUUAAACUAAUAAAAUACAUAGACAUCAAGUUUAACUGCAGCGGAACAAGUAAUCCAUUAGAAGAGUCAAGUAGAGCAUUAUAUCUACUAUCUUCUAUGAUUUAAAGAAUUUAUCAUCAAUUUUAUCGCUGAGACUCAGCUUAAUAAAUAAUUCACAUCAUCCCUACACUACGGGCCAAGGAUAUUCAUUAGUAUUACGACCACGAAUUAUCCAUGCACUACGGGCCAAGGAUAUUCAUUAGUAUCACGACCACGAAUUAUCCAUGCACUACGGGCCAAGGAUAUUCGUGUUUUCAUCAACGGUCAUGAUCAUGCCAUAAAACAAUUCAUCUUUGCACCCUUGGCCGAAGAGAACCCAUGGUCAUGCUCAUACCAAAAACUGUCCAUCAAUGCACUACGGGCCAAUGAGGACUUUUACCACAUCAUUUGUAACAUUACGGUCAUGAUUAUACCGAAUAAUCCCUGGUCAUAAUCAUACCAAGUCCAUCCAUGCACUACGGCUACAGAUGACUUUCAUCAUAAUAUAAGCAUAAGGAUGAUGAUAAUGAUAUAAAAAUUUAAUCAAACGAGAUCAAGGAUAAAUAUUAAAGACUUUAAAUUUAUUCAAAGUUUAAAAAAACGUUCAAAUAGUUAACAUGAUACUGCUUUGUAGAAUAAAAUUCAAGAAUAAUAAUGUAUCAAAAUUGAUUUGGAUCGAAAAGAAAUCAAUUUUUGUCAUAAAUAGUACCCCGGGUGAAUAGUACCCGAGUGAAUAGUACCAUAUAAAUAGUACUUCAGGAAUAGUAACCCCGUGAAUAGUACCCCGACAUGAAAAAGUUAAAACUUAUCAAGAAUGCUCAGAAUAAUAUUUUCAUGGAAAGAUAUUGGAUGAAGCGCAAAUAUCAAGGAUGUUCUACUAAUUUCAUGGAGUAUAGAAGCCAAAACUUUAACAAAAUGAGUGUAGAAUUCAAAAUCUAAAACAAAAUAAUAUUACUUACAUACUAAAGAGUAUGGAAGAAAAUAUUAUUUCUUACGAAUAUUGAACAAAAAUAAUAUCCUUUACAACUGUUGAACGAAAAUAAUAUUCCUUUCGAAUAUUAAACGAAUAUAAUAUUCCUUACGAAUAUUAAACGAAUAUAUUGUUUCUUGCGAAUAUUGAACAAAAUAAAAUUUCUUACGAAUACGAAAAAUAAUAUCUUAAGCGAAUAUGAAAUAAAUAAUACCCCUUACCUUAAAAAGAAGAGUAUUUCGACUGGUAUAGCGGGGAUAUUUUUGAAGAAAAUUUCACUAUUUUUUACACUCAAAGCUUCCUUAAACUCUAAAGAAAUCCGCUCAAUAUUAUAGAAAAAGAAUUCUCUGAUUCUGGUGUGAUUUUCAAUUCUAACUAAGCAUCCUAUUUAUAGAAGAAUGUAAAUGAUACUAUUUGAGGGCACAGCGGGAGAAGAAUCACGGGCGAAAAUUCGAAUUCGUCUGAUAAUUCCAUUCUUUAUUAUGCAAACACUAUGCAUAAUAAAAUAUAAUAUAUUCUAUUUUUCAUAAAAAACAAAACUUAUUAUAAUAUAUAUAUAUAUAUAUAUAUAUAUAUAUAUAUAUAUAACAAUCAUAGUACUCCCACUCGUGAAUCCAAUACUCCAUCCCCUGACAAUUCAUUUUUCUACACGUGGGCCCCACAUGUGGCCCCACCUUUAUUAUAUUGAAUAACUUUCUACCGAUUAUUUUGAAAAAUGAGUAAAUGGAGAUCCAAAUAAUAAGAAAAAUUUACCACAAAUACAUCAUAAAAAUCCCCUCUAUAUUUUUAACAAUAUUUAUUCAUUAUUAUUAUAACUCGCAAUAUUAACAACCAGAUCGUUCUCAGGAAAGAGGGGGCUUUCCGAUAAGGAUUUCUCCCUAUUGGCGCGCAAUUAGAUGACCAAACCCCUUUCCUCGACAGAACUUUCUAGACAUUGUUAAUUAUACAGAUAAUAAUAUGAAUAACUUGUCAUCUCAAUUAUUGAUUUAAUAAUAUAUAAAAUAUCAAAAAUAUUUGAAUCAAAUAAUGUGAGAUUCCAUGCAGCAAUUACUGUAGCAAUAAUUGAACAAAACUGAGUGACUUCUCACGUAAGCAUCAAUAAUCAAUACAGUGUGCUACUAUGCAACCACGCAUAUUACUAUACUUUUAACACUGGGUAUUUCAACAGUUAACGGUAAAACUUUCGCCGUUAUUUUUAUAAAAAGAUAUUUCUGUUAUUUUCUCAUUUCGACAAUAAUUCUGUUGUGGGUUCCACCAAUGAUUGUGCCAUCGUACGAAUAUUCCCUCUUAAAAUGAAUAUUUCCCGACCAAUCGAAUAUUCUAUAAUAACUUGCUUACUUUGCAAAAUUUAUAAAUAUUGCUCGCAACUAUAACAUUAUAUCAAAUCCACACCUUAAUAUUCAAAAAAUUAUUUUGAGAAAAUUAAUCUUUAUUCAUAAAAUUUGGGGUCUUAUAUUCUUCCCCACGGGUUUCAUCUUGGGUAAUUACUCUUGAACUCCUCCCCGGGGAUCCUCUAAUGCCGAGGAGAUGAGAGUUUCUCACUCUAGGGCGAAUACCACCACUUACUAUUUAUAGGGUGGUGUUCCCCGUAGGUUCUAUUAUAGAUCCAGCUGGUCAUGACAUCAUUAGGCGAACGAUGAAAGAGAAAGCACUUAUCCUGAAGCCAUUUUCCAAGAGCCCAAAUGAUGAUAUUUGUUUUAGCAUACCAACAGUCGAUGAUCCAGUUAAGAGACACAUGAAACUUUUGAUAUGCUUUAUGUUAUUUGUUUCUUUCAAAUAUUUUCAUGAUUGCCUUAUUAUUCAGGUUGUCGAUGAUGAUGAUGAUGUUUCUAUUAGAUUUGUUAUGGGUACGACAAGUGAGGUGGCGACGUUCACUACUUGUGAGCCUUUUCGAUCUAUUUUGAUUGUUGUCAAGUCCUCUUCACCACAUAAUGAUAGUUUCAAUCUUGAUGAAGACGACUCCUUGUUUAAUGUGGUCUCAAGUCCUGCUGUGGAUAAUACAGUUCCCUCUUUCUACCCACAUACAUCCUCUCUUUAUGACGGCUUCGAGGGUACUGAUGAUACUCUUAUUUAUACUGACGAUACUAUUUCCAUGAAUCCUCCUCCCCCGAGGGAGAAUCCUUCAGAGUCCGUUGCUGAUUUCUAUCCUCCCCAGAAGGAUUCUGCUGAGAUGUCGACUUGCCAUGUUUCUGUCCAUUGAAGACCUUUUGAUUACCAAGCACAUGGGUCAGGUAUAACAUAAAGCUUUUUUAAUUCUGUAAAUAAGCACACCUAGAGCUGGGGUGAAUUGGUGUACAAACCCACAAGUGAUUAACAAUGGAAAAUUUUUAAAGUUUAUAACUACAGACUAUAAUCGGAUAGGUAACCCCCUUAUGUUUUAGUAUAUGUUCUUCGUCAAUUAUAAUCGAACAGAUAAUCCCUGUCUGUUUUAGUAUAUGUUCUUCAUCAAUUAUAAUCGGACAGCUAAUACCUUUCAUUUUUAGUGUAUCUUCAAGAACACGGGUUAGAACUAAAUAUGUAGAAUAAAGUACAGAUUAAGAAGGAAAACAAAAUAGAAAUCACACCAAGAUUUUUACGUGGUUCAACCCCUAUACUCUAAUCUAGUGGCCUAAUCCACAUCUAAUACCAACUAGUAUUAGAGACACUUUUUUAUUAAAACUUAAUAUUCAAAAGAUUACAGAAAACUAUAUGUACAACGAAGAUCGAUUCUGAUUUAGACACCUCUGCCCCUUUUGCACCUCUGCAACUUCUCUUACCUAUGAGACCUUGAUGCUUCUAUUGUACAGACUAAAUAUUGCACGAUUACUCAAGCCAACCUAGAAUUUGUACUUGGUUUACAAGAGAUAUGAUAUGAAGAUUACAACAACUUUCCAGUUAACAAUAAUGUAAGAGAUUACAAUCAAAACUGGAGUUUAGAAUUGUAAAAAACUUUUCAGAAUAUGUUCAGUAGUAAAUUUCAGCUUCCCGUGUUGUGUAUCCUUUUACCGAGCAUGAAGACCAUAUAUAGAGACGUGAGCAACGGCUAGAAUGAAACUGUCACCAAGAAAGGCUCAACCAAGAAUUUCAUUCUCAAAAAACUAUUAGUACUAACGAUUAUAUAAAAUUCAGCAUAAUAAAGAUAAGAAUAAAAUAUGUACUGAAUUAAAUCAGUUAAAAAGAUAUUAAAGAUAUAGCCCACAUAACCUUUAACAACAUGUUUCCUUGAAAGUCUCAACUAUCAACUUAAAACAUGUUCCUUAAUUAAUCAAUCUCCUUAAAACACUCCAAUUCGAAUUGGUUUUCAUAACUAAAAAGAUUUAGAUAUAGCAACAAAAUAAAUAUUAAAAGAUAUUCUACAGUUAUAUCAGUUUCCAUAAAGGACUGUAACAGAUGGCAUCAUAUUCCUUAACAGUUUCAAAUUAAAACAACCUGUUUUAGUAAUAUUUAUAAAUUACAGAAAUAAGUAACACUCCAAUCUGCAGUAAAUUCCUUUGGGCUAGAAAUAUGUUAUGCAUUCUUCCAGGUUAUCUUAGGUGAAUAAUACAAAAUGGGACCAUGCAAUCCAUAAAAUAUAAUCCAUACAAAGCAAUAGAUUAUAUUAUUUAAUCAACCCAUUAUGAAAUCAGCCCAUAAUAUAAUCCAUGCAAUCCAUAAAAUAAACAACAUAUUGGACCAUGACUUAACCAAACUGACUAUACAUUAUUUUUCAACAAACCAUAACAAAGUCAAUUUCAACCCAUUUAAUAACUCAUAUAGUUUAGCAUAUUGUCAUCAUUAAAAUUAAAAAAUAUAAAUACCAACCCCUUCAUCCCAAUGUACCUUCCCCUCAUGAUUAAACUUGAUUACCUUGUUGCUCAAGUUGGUGAGAAUUUGGUGGAUCGAUCCGUAGAAUAACUCUAAUCAACUCCACUAGGACGUCGUUGGUUACAUAUCAUUUCUUGGCCUGAAUUUGAUAGUUUCCAACUUCAUACCUUCGACUCAAACUUGGAAAGGUCAAGGAUGUCAUUAAUAAGUUGAAGAACCAAACCUCCCGAAGAUAUAUAAUAUGACACUCAACAGUUGUCUUUGCUCUUUGUUAAGCUUUGUGGUUGAAAGAAUCUCAGACCAAACUUCAAGAAUUCGAGUCUGCUGCUCGAGACCUUAAGGGAUCAUAAUAGCCUUCAAUAUAAAAGCUUGGGAUACUGUCAUUGCCAACUUGGAGGUUUUAGCUAUGCCCCCUAUUUAGUUUGAUAUAUCAUGACCUCUAGAUCAUGACCUUUUGUAUGUUUUCAUUUCCUGUUUCAAAAAAAAACAUGCAUUUAAUUAGAGAAAAUAUGAAUUCUUUCAUCAAAAAAUAUUAUAUAUAUAUAUAUAGUCUUUUGAUUUCUUGUAAACCAAUUACUUGAAUUCAUACUUUUUUUUCUUCUAAAAAAUAAGAAGUUGCCAAAGUAUAAGUGAAAGUUUGGCACUUUAUUGAUAAUCUGAUUGCUUUUAAUGAAGAGCAUAACUUUUUAGAUUUUCAAUAUAAUAAAUCUUUCUUUUUGUUGGAAAAAGCAUAAUGUUCGCCACUUUUAGAGAUAAAGAGUAACUUUCUCGGGGUAGAGGGCUUAUGCUCAGGUGCCUCAAUCACUUUUAAAGUUGAAAGUGUAACUGGUCACGUCCAAGGACUUAUAGUCAGGUGCCUCGAUUACUUUUGAAGUUGAAAGUAUAACUUUUCUAGUCCGAGAACUUAUAGUCAGGUGCCUCGAUUACUUUUGAAGUUAGAAGUAUAAUUUUUUGGUCCGAGGACUUAUAGUCAGGUGUCUCAAUUACUUUUAAAAUUGAAAGUAUAACUCUCUUUUUUUGUCUGAGGACUUAUAGUCAGGUGCCUUAAUUACUUUUGAAGUUGAAAGUAUAAUUUUUUUGGUCCGAGAACUUAUAGUCAGGUGCCUCGAUUACUUUUGAAGUUAAAAGUAUAAAUUUUUUUUAAGUGAUGACCAUAUCAUGUGUAAUAUUUCUUAACCCAUUUGCCUUGAGAUAACAUCUGAUCUCACACAAGAUAUUUUCCAAUACCCGCAUUCAGAGAUCUCUCGUACCCAAACGUGCCUUCCCAUUUGGGGAAAAAAUUUGGUUCCUCUCACGACUUGAUUCGCUGCCUUAAGCACCAAGUCUCCCAAGAGAAUUUGUCAUGGUACUACUACAGUAUUGUAUUGUCAUCACAGCUUUUCAUGGUACCAUUCAAACUUUCCUUGUUGCGUUAUCUCGGAAGUCGGCUAAGGCCCCUAGAGCAGCCGAUCCGUUCUCUUCCUCGAUUAAGCUUCUGAGUUUCAUUCUGGUCGUAAAGAUUUCUAAUUCUGCGGUCAAGACAACUUCUUCACCAUAUACCAAAAUGUAUAGGGUUUUGCCCGUAAGCUUUCUUUUUUGUAGUUUGAUAAGCCUAUAAUGAUGUCUUCAGGUGAUCAUCAAGGAUUUUCGAAUGAAUCUUGAUCACAAUUUUGUUCGUGAACUUUACUUGUUUGUUUCCUUUGGGUAAUAAAGUUGUGAUUUAUAUAUAGUGUUUCACCCUGUAUCUCUUCAACAGAUUCUUGACAUCCCUAUUGAUGGAGAGAGUUCUAUUAUCUGAAAAGAUGUUUGGAUAGUGACCUGUUUAGCACGAUGUUUCAUUUUCCAAUUCAAUUUCACCUGUUGCUAACUUUUCGUGGUAGAUCCUUCGCAGAUUGUAACAGUUUAUGGUGAAGUCUUUUGCGUGUUGAUGGUACACGCAGAAGUCUGGUCUCUUUUUCAUUUCUUUUGUCACAACAAAUCUGGGCUUUGGAGUUUUCACCACUUCUGUAAGACCCCAACUUAUUAUAAAUAAAAUUAAAUUUUCUCUAUUCAUUAUUCUAAAUUAAUAAGGUGUUAAUUUAAUAUAAUGCUUUGGUUAUGGGUGAAAUGUGCAAAUUUUACAAAAUAAACAAGUGGUUAUAAAAUAUUCAUUUUUUUCGGGGAAUAUUCUUUUGGUCGUGGAAUAUUCUUUUUGUCGGGGAAUAUUCGUACGACGGCGCAGCCAUUCGUGGGGCUCAUAACAGAAUAACUGUCGGAUGAAGAAAACGACAAAGUAUGAGUUUUUAUAAAUAACGGCGUAGUUGUUACCGUUAACACUGUUGGAAUACCUGGUGGUUAAAAUACAGUAAUACGCGUGGUUGCACAGUAACACAUGGUAUUACACAGUAUUAUUGAAUUAUUGAUUCGUACGUAAGAAUGCACUACUCAAUAAUUGUUACAGUAGUUACUGUUCAAUAUUUUAUUUUAUUGAUUCAAUAAUUGCUGCGUUGAUAUUUUAUAUUAUUGUUGUUUCAAUAAUUGUCACUGCAUAGUAUUUCCCAUUAUCAGAUCAAUAAUUCAAAUUAUUUGAAUACUAUUAUUAGUAAACAUUAUUGGCCAUGUCUAGAAAGUUCUGUCUAAGGAGAGGUUUGGCCACCUAAUUGCGCGCCAGUAAGGAGAAAUCCUUAUUGGAAAACCCCCUCUUUCCCGGGAAUUGCCUGGUUGUCAUAAUUGUGAUUCUGUAAUAUUAUUUGUGAAUAAUUAAUUAUUGAUUUAUAUGAUAAGAAAAUAUUUAUUUGCUAUGGAUAUUAAUGAUGGAUUUAUUUAUGUGGUUAUAAACGAAGGAAUUAAUGCUGAGGUGUUUUAUCAAUAUUUUGUCAGAAUGGAGGUAUUAAAAAUCAUCCGUUUGUGGAUUUUGGAUAUUUUUUGUUUGGAAUUUGGAAAAACUCAAAGCUACAAAGUUGUAGAGAAUUUGAUUUCGUGUGGAAUGAACAUAAAAUUCGUAUUUUUUUGACAAACGGACUAUUUUCUAUGAAUUACUGAAGUUUCGGAAAAUAAAAUGAUUUUUAUUAAAUUAUGGGUGAGACCCACUUUUUGGUUAGUGUUGAAUGCACAUGGGCUGCUGAAAAUUUUCUGAAUUGGUGGCUAGCUUGCUUGCGUAUAAGAAAGAAUAAGAAAUAAUAAUAUUCUAUUAUUUUAGUCUCCUUUGGCGUUCUAACAUUUUCCUAUAAAUAGGCGCUUAGGUUAGAAUUGAAAAUCACACCAGAAACAAGUUUUCUUUCUCUCUAGAUUAUCGAGCGUAUUUUUGUGAGUAUUUAUAUACUUUGAGAGUUGCUGUUUGGUACAAGAUUCCUUCGUUUUUAUAUCCGAUAUUUCGAUCAGAAGUACCGUUAUUUUGAGGUAAGGGAUGUUAUUUUCUUUCGAAAUGAUAUUAAUUUCUUUAAUAUCAUUAAGCCAAAAUAUUGGUUUGAACUUUUUAAUCAAAUUUGGAACUUUUUGUGUCGGAGUUACUAUUCACGUAUACAACACUAUUCACGUAUACGACACUAUUCACAGAAAAAUAAAAAUUUUCCUUUUUGUCCAAGAUGUCUAUUUUGGCUACCAUCUUUGAUUGUAUCCAUGUUUUGAUCAUUAUUUUUGAAUUUUGCUUCACAAUUGGUUAUUAUGAAGUAUUUUUGAUCUUGGAUAAACUGUUAUACGAAUCCCUAAUAUUUGUCCUUCUGUCUCACUGGAUUCAUUUUUUUUAAAAUAUUUUUCAUCAUCCUCAGUCUUAAAUGAUGAUAUUACUGAAUAUUUUUGGCCUGUAGUGCAAAGAUGAAUGAUUAACUGAUGAAUAUCUUUGGCCCGUAGUGCAAAGAUGAACAGGUGUUGAGAUGAACAUGACCAACUGGUGAUACAAAUGAAUAUCUUUGGCCUGUAGUGCAAAGAUGAAUAUUUGAUUAAAGAUGUAUAUUGAUUGUUGUUACAGGGAUAAAAUAUUGAUGAUGAACUUUUAAAUCUUAGAAGAUAGUAGAAUUCAUUCUCUACGUGACUCUUCUAAUGGAUUGUUGUUUCCGCUGCAGAAUAUUGAUCUAAAACUUGUUGUCUAUUAUAUUCUAUCAGAUUUUUCCCUGUUGAAGACUAAUGAUAAUUUGUUGUAUAUUAUCUUAGUCAUAAUAUUCUUUACUGGGCUAGUUGAGCUCACCCUUUUCCUUUUUGUUCCAUUUUUCUUCUCAGGAGGAGAGAACAUAGCAGGAUCUAGUCGGGGUAUGGAGUGAUGGUUCUAGAAAGAUGUUUUAGUAGUCCUCACUAUUUCUGUAAAAUAGUGUAUGAAUAAUUGUAAUGAGGACUUAUUUGAGUGUUGAUAUUGUCUAGAAGAUAAUAUUUGUAUUUAAACUCACAGUAUGUGUUGUCGUAUUUUACAUGACAUUUGUUUUAUUGAAGUUGUAG
Molecule: long non-coding RNA, 21864 nt
Filed under: Panax ginseng (ginseng)
Lineage: Eukaryota; Viridiplantae; Streptophyta; Magnoliopsida; Apiales; Araliaceae
Description: long non-coding RNA (PGIN_LNC005047)
Source: RNAcentral